Molecule: long non-coding RNA, 8703 nt
Filed under: Sus scrofa (pig)
Lineage: Eukaryota; Metazoa; Chordata; Mammalia; Artiodactyla; Suidae
Description: lncRNA (ENSSSCG00040053845.1)
Source: RNAcentral
GCUAAGACUCCUAUUUUUAUUCAUUCUCCCAGGAACCCUUUAGGAGUAGACAUCCACCUUGCAAGGAAAAUUCGAUGCCCAUCAAAACCUCACCAUCUGAAUGGCACAGCCAGAAUGGCAAUUCUGCCAUUUUCUUUUCAAAUCUUUUUUCUUUUCCUAAUUCACACUUUCAUACUCACAGCUCAUACCCUUGAUAUCAGAUAUCCACCCCAGACCCUUACAACUGGGGUAGGCUUCCAGCAGGCAAGAGACAGCUCCUCAAGCCCAGAACCUCGAGAAGAAUAUGAAUACAGGACUAUAUACAAAGUGAGUGCAGUGUCCAGGGGCUAAACGAAGCUGCCGACGAAAAUUUGGCAUCUGCCACCUGCUUCGACAAGGAGGAUGUCGCCAGCCACUGCGUCUGCUGAGCUUCAGCUCCCCUGAAAGGAGCUCAGGAGGGAGAUCAGGAGCGAGGCCCUCUGUGCUCUGGAAAAGCUGGCAGAAUAGGCCUCAGACAGUUUGGCAUCUUCAGGAGAAGAUGGAUGAGGCCAAUUCUUGCAUUUCCUCGUAUCUAGAAAAGCACUAAAAUCAUUCACGGCAUCUGUUCUUGGUGACGAGUAGCAGCCUGCACAAGAUUAUUAGCAGCAACCACUGCAAAAUGUGUGUCUGACUGCACGUGUCCCCCCUUCGCAAUAUCUCGUGGACACACGGCCCGCCUUCGGAGCAGCUCCGCAGAGCUCUCGGAGAGACUGUCUUCCAGGCCACACUCCUCAUUUUGCCCCACGUAAGACCUAACUCCCCUUCUUCAAGUUGUGCCCCCUUUUUUUCAGUUGACACCACCCAUCACUUUUUCCAGGACCAAAGUUAAUGGGAGGCUGACAGGUUCCACGACCAUGUGGCAGGGGAGGGGCCGGUGAAGUAAGGUGGGUACCCUCCUCUCCUGCCCUCCAGGCUCCUGCUGGUGCCUCCCAUUAGGGAAGCCCACCGAUGCACCCUGCCUCCUGGGCCCAGUGCAGGGUGGGGACAGGUGAAAGAGUGCACCUGGGGAAGCAUGCGGAAGGCAUGCCACCGAGGCUGCCCCUCAUAAGCAGGGCAAGGUCAAAGACGGUGGCGGCUGCAGGGCCACCCAGCACAACCUCUCUCUCUGCUCCUGCAGAAAUCACUCCCUUCCCGUAGCCUAGAGAUAACGGUCAAGAGUGCCCUCUUUUCGGGGAGCGUUAGCUAACAAAAAUACAGGAGGCCAGUUAAAUCUGAACCUUUUCUUUUUUUUCUUUUUUGGCCACUCUGUGGCAUAUGGAGUUCCCGGGCCAGGGAUCAGAUCCAAGCUACAGUUGUGACCGACGCCUCAGCUGCAGCUAGAGCAAUGCUGGGUCCUUUAACCCACUGUGCUGUCCAGGGGAUCAAACCUGCAUCCUGGCACUGCAGAUAUGCCACCUAUUGCCACCACAGAAGAAACUCCUAAAUCUGAACUUCUGAUAAACAACGGGCAAUUUUUAGUCUAAGUAUAUCCCAUGCAAUAGUUGGGAUACACUUAAGCUAACAUCUACUGUUUAUCAGAAGUUCAAAUUUAACUUGGUGUCCUAUAUUUAACCUGACAAAAUUUUCCAAUUGUACAAUAUUAUUGCUUCUGUCCCAGAGGAUAAAGGCAAACAAUGUUUCCACAAGUAUGUUAUUAUAUUUCGUAUUAAUCCUGGGCUCAUAAUUUUACUUCUCCUUUCCAAUUUAAUUAUUGAGUCUUCCCUUUUUUAAAAAAAAUAUGCUAUUUUUAUUCAUUGUAAUAUAUAAAGACUCUCUCCAUUGAGAAUGUACUGAUUCUACUUUCAUUGAGGUCAUUCCUGAAUUGCCUCUUUUCUCAGGAGAAUACAUUUUUUAGAAGGGCAUUAAGCUUGGUGUUCUGUUGCAAGGCAAUGAAGUUUGGAUACUUCUCUUCCAUGCGCAAAUGGGAAAGAAGGAUUUUAAGGAGAAAUCAUCAUUUAAGAAUCUUCGGUAUACUUCUAAACAUAAGAAACAUAUGAAUCUUUUUUUCUUUUGGCUUUUUAGGGCCACACCCAUGGCAUACGGAGGGUCCCAGGCUAGGGAUCCAACUGGAGCUAGAGCUGCUGGCCUCCGCCACAGCCACAGCCAUGCCAGAUCCGAGCCUCGUCUGCGACCUACACCACAGCUCAAGGCAACACUGGAUCCUUAACCCACCGAGCGAGGCCAGGGAUCAAACCUGCAUCCUCGUGGAUACUAGCCGGGUUUAUUUCCACUGAGCCACACCGGGUGGCCUCAUCAUCAAAGCCUAGUAUCUAACUGUACUGACCAAUGACCAGACCACCUGUUUUGUUGUUGUUCACUUGAUUCCGCCCUUUAACACAUCAUUUUACCCCUUUUGUGUCAUGUUGAUGAUGUGGCUGGUUCCUCAACAGCACAAACCCACCGUAGUCUCUGGAAGAUGACUGGUCACCCCGCCUACAUUGAAAAAUGUACUUGACACCGGCUGACCCCUCUAGCUAUAGGCCAUGACACCGCUGCAGCCUUAGCGUCCAGUUACUCCUGUUUUCCCAGAAAAUGCUUCCGUGAACUGACGCCUCAAGAAUCUUGUCCUCCGUGUCCCAUUCUCCUGGCUUAAGAUCCACAUGCAUUACACUGGCUCUGAGCAAAAGGCGCAUCAUCAGCCCUCCUUGUGUGCCAACACUGUCCUUGGGUUUUAUUUAGAAAAGCAACAGUAGUAACUCCUCACACCCCUACAGACUUCUUGACCUUGUAACAAAUAUUAGACAUGUAUUAUCUCAUUCAGUCUUCACAAUAGAUCCGUGAGGGCCUCUUUCCCCGAUUUCCCCGAGUAGGGAGCUCGCCAGGUUGAGAGGUAAAGGCCAAGCGAUAAGCAGAGCCAGUGGCGACGCUCCGCACUCAAGGAGCUCUCCCCUCUCGGCAGUCGUGCGCUGGGCAGAAUGACUCUGCUCUUAAGUGACUCGGUCACAAGUGACUUCGGGCAGGGAGGGAGGAGAGGCAGUGGCCUACCAUUACAGAAUCUAACUUGAGGCAUUUUUCCUGACUAUCAGCAGUUCUUAUGCACAAAAUAAAAGGGCCCCUUAAGCAAUGGGCCACGAUCAAAGCACCUUAGUGGGGAGCGGGCCAGCAGACACAUAUACCAUAUGACAUGACUUUUUCACACAAUCCAGUGUAACAGUUCCAAUGAGAGGCGUUUUAAGUUUACCUUAACUCCUUCUGGAAGGGUACAUGAGCACAUCAACAGAGGCAAAGCUGUAUGGGGCACAUCUACAAACAGCCCUCCUUGGAGCCCAGGGUUUCAGGGCUGGAAGGGACCAUAGGCAACACAGCCUCGCCAAUCUCAAACAGAAGUCCCAGUAAUUAGGAUCCUUGAAGAUGUGUCCAGGAAUAUGAAUCCAAGCUAUAAGCACAUUCAUAACACUCAUGCUUCAAUGUCACAUAAUAAAAAGCAACUUCAAAUAUUAUUUAAUACUGAACCAAACCAUACAAUGUGACAAAGAAUAAAAAUCUACAUGAAUUUUCAAGACUUAAUACAGACUUCACAGAUGGUUUAAGCUAAUAGCAGGCUGCUCUGGGCAAAUUCCAAACCCUCUGGGAUUUUAUGUUAUGUUGCCUUAGGGGUAGGCAAAUGGAAAGAUUUCAGAAGAACUAAACCUUGUCAAACAGAAGCCGAAUAAAACUUGAGAUCCAGACAAGCAACCUGAUGAAUAAAGAGGUUAGAGUUCACGAUUGCACAAGAUGUCAAGACUCUCCUGCUUUUCACAGGAUGCCACGUCUAGUGUCUGCACUGGCUGAGCACGUGCGGGUUGAAUUCGGCUGGAGCACGCUGAAGGACUGAUGCUAGUCUGCGAGAAAUGCCCUACAAAUGCACUGCAAACUAAGUGGCGUAAACAGCAGUUUUAGCGGAUGCAAGUCAGAGACCGAGGCGUCAGAAAGGCCAUGCUCCCUCUGAAGGCUUUAGGACAGGACCUGUGCCAGGCUUUUCUCCUAAGUUCUGGCAGUUCCUUGGCUGGUAGCAGCAUAACUGCAGUUGAGAUACUGCAUUCUCUGUGUGCGUGUGUGUGUACCCCAAUUUCCCCGUCACUCUGGAUUAGGUCCCACCACACCCCAGGAUGAUCUCAUCUUCAUAUAACCAAUUACAUUUGCAAUAAUCCUACUUCCCAGAAAGUUCACAUUCUGAGGUCCUGGGGCUUAGGACUUCACAUUUGAGUAGGUGAGCAGACAUAAGUUGACCCUUCACGCAGGUCGAGCCCAUUUUGGCCCAGACUCAAUGAACCAGGUGGUCCUGAGAAACGGUAGCCAGGCUCAAAGUCUCCCUGGCCCACCAAUCAGGCUUCCUUAAGUUCGAAACGAACAACUGACCUUGUUUUCAAAAUUCACUGCAACCGCACAGUCUAAGAUUUUCAACUUGACAUCUUGCCGGUACCAUCCUACAGAGUCUGUAAUUGGUGAAUUUUGUUGGUCUUAGGUUAAGAUGUACAGGAAAAAAGGCAACAGGAGUUUGAGCUAGCUGCUCGUAAGAGAACAGAAAUCCAUUUGCUUGCACUGCAUUAUCAAAGGAGGCUUUUUUGAGAUGCCUGAGUAUUCAUGAAGUGAUAAGCAAGAGGCAGAAAAAUCUACGUUACUCUUGAGUUAACCCCUUUUUUAUUUUCGGGUCAAGCCUUAGAUUUAGUGUCACUGACGGUGUAUUCCUGCAUUUUUAUUGACAAAGUCGGGGAAUUCACAUAACUGAAGACUCAAGACCUGGUCUGGAAGAAGCAUUUAGGGACGGGGCUGUGCUCUGGCCUCAGUGAUAUUUCAGCCUCUGCCCAUGUGCACGUGUGCUGAUGGCACUGGCCUCCCCAUGGCCUGCCUCCGGCACCAGAGUCAUGAGAGGUACCUAGCAAUGGCAACUUUUGAAUCUUUCAUGAAAUGAUUCUCCUUUUAGUGAAAGUAGAGGUUUACAACAAUGAGCAGAAUGUGAAAAAUGCUACUUCUGCAUCUGAGCACAUUUGCUCACUCAAUAAACAUGCCACCGAGAAAUAAGGGUUGUAAUUUCAAAGCAGUUUCGUAUACCCAUCAGACGGCAGCUCCGUUAUGUUUCUGUAGUUCCAGCAAAUGAGACUUUGAAAAAUCAUCUCUUAAAAUACAUUUUCAUGUCACACUGGAGUAUUUAAAUUAACAAAGACUCGACAGUGACCAUCCCUCACAGUAAAAGCGAUCCUUUGAUUCAGCAAAACUGCAAUAUUCAUAGGUACCCAGGAUAAUCUCCUUCUGUCAAGCGCAGCUGACGAGCAAGCUCACUCGCUCUUGCCAUGCCACGUAAAACAGUCACAGGCCCUGGGGACCAGGAUAGGACCUCUGGCCGACACGACACUGUCUAGCACAUAUGCUAAUAGACAUGCGAUAAACAACUCGCUUUAUAGCACCAGGUAUUUUGUUUUACACACGGAGAAGCACUGUCUCGAGGAGGGUUCCACUAACCUCAUCAGAUUGCCCAAGAGCUCCAUGGCACUCAACAGGUUAACAGCCCCUGAUUCCAGACGGUGAGGCUGCCAACUACUUCGGCUACUACUACUAACUACUGUUACUAACAGUUACUAACUGUUACUGUCACUAACUACUGCCACCGAGCUUCCUUGAAUGAAGCCUCAAGCACAGAGGCACUGGCAUCUCUUUAAUUCUUUAUUUCCCAACCACCUUCCCCAACAAUAGGACCUACGAGGUUAUUUUUACAGAUGUGGAAACUACGGCCUGGAGAGUGACGUGCCAAAGGUCAGAGAUGAAUCGCAGAGCUGAAUGCGAAGAGCACCCCACUGCCCCCUGACCUGGGAGGACCCCCCUGCUUCAGGGCAUUUUACACCGUAAUGUGUCCACCUACUGCCUGAUGGGCUCAGACUAAGAAAAAAUUAGUCUUACUGUGUUCACAAUGUUUUUCCCUCUUAUGAAUCUAAUUUGUCUCAUCAGAGUCCAAAACAUUUUUGAAAAAUAAACUUCAGUGACCUCUGUCGCCAGCUUCCUCGCAUCCUCCAGGACCUCACUAAUGGGCAUUUAUGGCAAAGCGGCAUGCUUCUCUUGCUGCAGCCAGGGUAAGCCAGCCAGCAGGUGCCAACACUCUCCAGUAGCUGUCGGAUACCGACUACGAAGCACACCUGCUGCUUUUUCCGUCUGUUACCUUCCCCAGGAAGCUACAGGAACUCACUGAAACGAAAGCACACUGAAGCGCUGUACUCUGAAUCUUUAGGUCUCUUUAAUUGAACUGUUAAUCAGGAUUCUAUUGCCUCCAGCUGUUUCGGGUCACAAAGACAGAUCUAGUUCUGCUUCUUUGGUGUGUAAAAUCGGGAGAGCAUCUACACUCUGCAACGGAGCCCUCUCGGACACACACACGCGCACAGCUCCGAACUGAAGGGGGCGGUUGCGCUACCGAGGACUGCUUAUCACUGCGUGUUAGUGCAGGCUGUCUCUGCUACUGGGCCUCUGACUAGGGGCACUUCUCUCCUAAGCUUUCGAAGGGAAGGUGCUGCUGUUGCAUAUCUUGUCGAAGCUCCAGCGUUUCUCCUCAGCAGCUCUUCGCCGUGUCUGGUGGGAGCAACCACAGGACACAGACAUCUCGCCCUCACUCCUGUCCCGUCAGCCUUAGAAGCUCGGGUGACCCAGGCCUGGAAGAGGAAGAGAGGAGAGGAAGGGGCGGAGGGAGCGAAUAGGAAAGAGGCACGGCUCAUCACCCAGCACCUCCAGGGUCGGAGGCGGACUCCUAGGCCAGGUGAACACCAGGACUUGGGUCAUGACCAAGGCCAUGGCCACGAGGAUGCAGCGCUGGACCGAAGCCUCCAGCCCUGCCUCCUUCUUCUCGGCUUCAUGGCUCCCCUCCGAUUCCCAGCACAGCUCCUGCCUCAGCUCUGCCGCAGGAGAACAGUCCACCUCUCUGAGCCAACAGAGGUCUUGCUGGGGAACGCCUUGGGCAGCAGGUACUGCAUUAAGAUACACAGAAUAAAAGCAAGCUCUCAACUGGCAAUACCGCUGGACACCAAUUUUGUAAAGAAAAAGAAGCCCUGGGGAGGCUACAGAAAGGACUCAGAUAACACACACCGUCAGGGGUGGGGUGGAGAUCCAGACCCGCGCUGCCCGCGUUCAGGACCAGCCUCCACAUGUUCUAUAGGAAUUUGGAUCCGCCCUUGGACAGGGGCAAUGCGGAGUCACUGAUGAAUCAUCUCUGGUCUGGGGUGGGUGUGAAACUAGAAGUGCUUUGCAUUCUCUCCUCAGAAAUCCUCUGUAGUUUUAAACUACCCAAAUGAAACACGUUUUAUUUUACUGUCAGGAAAAGAAUUCCCAUCAUUUAAAGUCAGCACCUAGUGGAAAUGGAAUUUCACACUGGCUUCCACGUCGUCCUCUGAAGGAGACACGCGGGGUGGUUAUGCGGUCCCCUGGUGCCCUGUGACUCCGAAAAUUCCCGUUAAGACGGAGGCUUCUGCCAGCUGGAAGGUCAGGCACUGUUCGGGAUUCGGUCCCGUGGCUGCGACCGCCUCCUGCCACCAGCGUCCGCAUUUCCUAGGUGGUCGACAGGACAGGGGAGCUUGGGGACAGCCCUGACGGGCAAGAGCUGGCGGCAGCCGUGGGAACCACGUGGCCCACCAGUCACAGAUGACCGCUAGGCCCAAACUGAGGGCGGCGGAGUCCAGAACCUCAGAAAUGCAGCACUGCUUUAAAGUUCUAAUGUGGCUGCAUCCAGCAAAGUGGAGGGAGAGAUCAUUUCCAUGGAGGGAAGUAUUCUCUCGUGCUAAAACUCCCUCCCAGUCGUUUUUAACUGGUUUAUUGACUAUUGGAGUAGAAGAGAAAAAUCUAGCGAUACUUGCAAUUCACUCACAACAAUCCGAGAAAAGGUCUGGUACAUUCUAAGAAAAAUUCUGUAUCUCAGACCUUUCUCAAUCCAUUCACAAUUGCCUGUUGCUUCCCUCAAUUCGGACGCACGGAAUUCGAGAGAACACCUCUAAACGGCAAAUGCUGUAACAAGCUCCCCUUACUGGAUGAAAACCCAGAAUCCCUGAAUUUCCCCACCUGUUUACAGGAGCCCUUACGUUGCCAAGGGAACAGGCUGUUGCUAAGGUAUGAGGUGGCUGUCAGAAACUUCUAGCUUCCAACCUGCCCAUUAAAUUGCUCUUUGGGGAUCUCAGCCCGGCACGCGGCAUCCCUGGGGGAGUCGCUAAUGACUGUGACAUGCGGGGCCACUUGCUUAAAAUCCCAACGUGCUUCCCACAUCCAGUCCCCGUGCGCGUGGCGACGACAGCAUUCUUGACUCUUCACACGUCGCCAAUAACUCUAUUAAUCGAAGCAUCUCUCUGUGAAAUGAGCCAAGUAGCUCUGGUUGGCCCUUUUUCAUUCAGGAGAAUAUUUACUGUGAUGCAAAGAGCCAUUAAAACAACAAUAUACAAAAUCAUCCACUGUAAUGUACAAACUGAAUAUAACACUUUACUUGGUGCGUCUUUUGAGACUCUUCAAAGGUUUACUGGGAAACUUUGUAAUGAAUGCCCUGCCCGCCUGCAUUUCUAAAAUAUGCAACCCAUCUGCUAAGCUUCUCUGUUACCCUGCAAAACCAAGGAGCCCUGUCAAAGCUCUCUCCCCCACAGCUGGUCUUAGCAGCCAAGGCCACACGUGCUGGGACGGUGACCACACCUAGCGCAUCUGGUUUUCAGAGCAGCGCUAGAGAAGGCAUAGUCCAAAGAAUUAGAUCCUCUGUGCGAAGCGGAAUGCCAC